CAACUGUGUGAAUUAAUGUAAACUGCAUACUGCUUUGAACAUCGACAUCUUGAACGCAUAUUGCGGCCAUGGGUUAGCCUGUGGCCACGCCUGUCCGAGGGUCGGCUUAUGAACUAUCACGACGCCCAAACAGUCGUGGCUUGGGUCUUGCCAGCUGGCGUGGUUUCCUCCAUGAAUCCCGUGCGAGGUGCCAGAUCUAUGGCGUUUCCCUAAUAAUUCCGGACGCAUCCUCGUGAUGGCUGCUGGCACACGCAGGUUGUGAUGGCGGAAUCGUGGUUUAGUAUAGCUGUUCCCCGUUGUUGGUGUGCCCUGCGGGCAUGCGCGCGGGUUGGGCUGUGAUUGGGUUGGUGCUCCGAAGUCUGUACACUUGGCGCAAUCCUAGUCGGUGUACGUUUGAUGUCGGGGAUAAUCCCACACCAGGCACGUUUCGCCAUUACUACUGCGCUAUCGGUUGAAUGCCAGCGUGGACAAUGCAUCCGUCAUUCGUUAUUGUGGCGCAUUUGUCUCGCAACGGGUGGAUCAUCCCAAUGCGUUGCGACCAGUGAGCCUUCCUGACCUCGGAUCAGACGUGAUUACCCGCUGAACUUAAGCAUAUCACUAAGCGGAGGAAAAGAAACUAACCAGGAUUCCCUCAGUAACGGCGAGUGAAGAGGGAGGAGCCCAGCACCGAAGCCUGUGGUCGUUUGGCCAUUAGGCAAUGUGGUGUUUAGGUCGGCUCGCGGAGGUGCUGCCCCACCCUAAGUCCUAUAAUGAGUAAGGUUACUCGGACGUGGCCCGAAGAGGGUGAAAGGCCCGUGGGGGUG
This 803-nucleotide ribosomal RNA is filed under the name Cyclocoelum mutabile. RNAcentral describes it as "eukaryotic LSU rRNA". The stretch from base 553 to 803 matches the Rfam family "Eukaryotic large subunit ribosomal RNA", at positions 1 to 231 of the family's 3401-position model. The record is from RNAcentral. Lineage: Eukaryota; Metazoa; Platyhelminthes; Trematoda; Plagiorchiida; Cyclocoelidae.